AUUGAACGCUGGCGGCAGGCCUAACACAUGCAAGUCGAACGGUAACAGGAAGAAGCUUGCUUCUUUGCUGACGAGUGGCGGACGGGUGAGUAAUGUCUGGGAAACUGCCUGAUGGAGGGGGAUAACUACUGGAAACGGUAGCUAAUACCGCAUAACGUCGCAAGACCAAAAAGGGGGACCUUCGGGCCUCUUGCCAUCGGAUGUGCCCAGAUGGGAUUAGCUAGUAGGUGGGGUAACGGCUCACCUAGGCGACGAUCCCUAGCUGGUCUGAGAGGAUGACCAGCCACACUGGAACUGAGACACGGUCCAGACUCCUACGGGAGGCAGCAGUGGGGAAUAUUGCACAAUGGGCGCAAGCCUGAUACAGCCAUGCCGCGUGUAUGAAGAAGGCCUUCGGGUUGUAAAGUACUUUCAGCGGGGAGGAAGGGAGUAAAGUUAAUACCUUUGCUCAUUGACGUUACCCGCAGAAGAAGCACCGGCUAACUCCGUG
Molecule: ribosomal RNA, 490 nt
Filed under: uncultured bacterium
Lineage: Bacteria
Description: partial 16S ribosomal RNA
Rfam family: Bacterial small subunit ribosomal RNA
Source: RNAcentral